Molecule: transfer RNA, 70 nt
Filed under: Dipodomys ordii (Ord's kangaroo rat)
Lineage: Eukaryota; Metazoa; Chordata; Mammalia; Rodentia; Heteromyidae
Rfam family: tRNA
About the family: Transfer RNA (tRNA) molecules are approximately 80 nucleotides in length. Their secondary structure includes four short double-helical elements and three loops (D, anti-codon, and T loops). Further hydrogen bonds mediate the characteristic L-shaped molecular structure. tRNAs have two regions of fundamental functional importance: the anti-codon, which is responsible for specific mRNA codon recognition, and the 3' end, to which the tRNAs corresponding amino acid is attached (by aminoacyl-tRNA synthetases). tRNAs cope with the degeneracy of the genetic code in two manners: having more than one tRNA (with a specific anti-codon) for a particular amino acid; and 'wobble' base-pairing, i.e. permitting non-standard base-pairing at the 3rd anti-codon position.
Source: Rfam by way of RNAcentral
GGGAAUGUGGUUUAGUGGUAGAGUACUUUCCUAGCAUGUAUGAAGCUGGGAAUUCGAUUCCUCAGUACCA